CCACGGGAGGCUGCAGUGGGGGAUAUUGCACAAUGGGGGGAACCCUGAUGCAGCGACGCCGCGGGGGUGAAGAAGCGCCUCGGCGCGUAAAGCCCUGUCAGCAGGGAAGAAAAUGACGGUACCUGAAGAAGAAGCCCCGGCUAACUACGUGCCAGCAGCCGCGGUAAUACGUAGGGGGCAAGCUUGAUCCGGAUUUACUGGGUGUAAAGGGGGCGCAGACGGCGAUGCAAGCCAGGAGUGAAAGCCCGGGGCCCAACCCCGGGACUGCUCUUGGAACUGCGUGGCUGGAGUGCAGGAGGGGCAGGCGGAAUUCCUGGUGUAGCGGUGAAAUGCGUAGAUAUCAGGAGGAACACCGGGGGCGAAGGCGGCCUGCUGGACUGCAACUGACGUUGAGGCCCGAAAGCGUGGGGAGCAAACAGGAUUAGAUACCCCUGUAGUC
RNAcentral lists this ribosomal RNA (439 nucleotides) under uncultured bacterium. RNAcentral describes it as "partial 16S ribosomal RNA". It matches the Rfam family "Bacterial small subunit ribosomal RNA", at positions 339 to 795 of the family's 1533-position model. The record is from RNAcentral.